Molecule: long non-coding RNA, 331 nt
Filed under: Nicotiana benthamiana
Lineage: Eukaryota; Viridiplantae; Streptophyta; Magnoliopsida; Solanales; Solanaceae
Description: long non-coding RNA (NBEN_LNC038248)
Source: RNAcentral
AGGGUUUCAAAGAAAGCAGAGAAAGUGAGAAAGACUUUGAAAAGUCAAUGAUCUAGUCGGAACGGUCAAGGAUCUGACUUGAACAACCAAGAAUGGCCGGCAAAGGACCAGCAAUAGAAGUUGAACCAAGACUAGACUAGAUCACUUUGAGAUCUGUCAAUGAAACUGCAUAAACUGGCAACUAGAAGAUGUAGGAGGUCUGUAUACAUCUUGCACGGCCAUGGGAGUCUACGGAUUAGACUGGGAUUGAAAGGAAUAAGGGUGGAAUUGGAUGGCGGCGGCUAGGGCUUAUGUGAGGCUGCAGAGAGAAUUGAGAGAAGAGGAAUUCAAG